CGCGGGGUAGAGCAGCCUGGUAGCUCGUCGGGCUCAUAACCCGGAGGUCGUUGGUUCAAAUCCAACCCCCGCUA
Molecule: non-coding RNA, 74 nt
Organism: Candidatus Aminicenantes bacterium RBG_19FT_COMBO_65_30
Lineage: Bacteria; Candidatus Aminicenantota
Source: Rfam